UUUAGAAAUAUAACAAUCGACGGAUCAUUAUUCACAUGUUGAUCCACGACACAAACUAGUUUCAUUCACCAAACCAUGUGACAUGACAGGUACUAAUAGCCAAAUCUGGUGCAACACUAGUAUUAACCUGAACCAGUAGCAAAAACCUGUUUCAAAACCAGCAUCAAAUGUCAAUAUAAACCAUGGGUGGGUUAUGUUACUUUUAGCAUUAUCCAUGGACUCCCUGUAGUUUAUGAUUCAUGAUAGCAUCCAUAUUCUACAAUGCAAUUUUGGUGAUGGAAUGGAAAAAAUAACAGUAAAUCAGUACCAAGUUGGAAAAUAAGUACCAAAUAUUAAUCACCACCAAUUUGAAAAAAUCAAUACCAAGUAUAAACAGAAGAAGCUGUAAAUAAAAAUUACUGGCUAAAUUGAACAUCAUUUUCAGGGUUUAUGAGCAGUAACAUAUAGCAAUAGUACCAAAUUGAUAUAGCCAGUACAAUAACAUUACUAAUGCAGUACAAAGUCUCUGAAAUUGGGUCCCCAAUAAUAUUAUUG
Molecule: long non-coding RNA, 534 nt
Filed under: Medicago truncatula (barrel medic)
Lineage: Eukaryota; Viridiplantae; Streptophyta; Magnoliopsida; Fabales; Fabaceae
Description: lncRNA gene49086
Source: RNAcentral